GAUCCUGGCUUAGGAUGAACGCUAGCUACAGGCUUAACACAUGCAAGUCGAGGGGUAGCAGGGUAGCAAUACCGCUGACGACCGGCGCACGGGUGAGUAACACGUAUCCAACCUUCCCAUAACUCAGGGAUAGCCUUUCGAAAGAAAGAUUAAUACCUGAUAGUACUUUUUCAAGGCAUCUUGAGAAAGUUAAAGAUUUAUUGGUUAUGGAUGGGGAUGCGUUCCAUUAGAUAGUUGGUGAGGUAACGGCUCACCAAGUCUUCGAUGGAUAGGGGUUCUGAGAGGAAGGUCCCCCACAUUGGUACUGAGACACGGACCAAACUCCUACGGGAGGCAGCAGUGAGGAAUAUUGGUCAAUGGGCGAGAGCCUGAACCAGCCAAGUAGCGUGAAGGAAUGAAGGUCCUAUGGAUUGUAAACUUCUUUUAUAGUAGAAUAAAGUGAUCCACGUGUGGAUUUUUGUAUGUAUACUAUGAAUAAGGAUCGGCUAACUCCGUGCCAGCCGCCGC
This 507-nucleotide ribosomal RNA is filed under the name uncultured bacterium. RNAcentral describes it as "bacterial SSU rRNA". It matches the Rfam family "Bacterial small subunit ribosomal RNA", at positions 15 to 518 of the family's 1533-position model. The record is from RNAcentral.